This 75-nucleotide transfer RNA is filed under the name bacterium. Its description in RNAcentral is "tRNA-Pro". It matches the Rfam family "tRNA". Rfam says of the family: Transfer RNA (tRNA) molecules are approximately 80 nucleotides in length. Their secondary structure includes four short double-helical elements and three loops (D, anti-codon, and T loops). Further hydrogen bonds mediate the characteristic L-shaped molecular structure. tRNAs have two regions of fundamental functional importance: the anti-codon, which is responsible for specific mRNA codon recognition, and the 3' end, to which the tRNAs corresponding amino acid is attached (by aminoacyl-tRNA synthetases). tRNAs cope with the degeneracy of the genetic code in two manners: having more than one tRNA (with a specific anti-codon) for a particular amino acid; and 'wobble' base-pairing, i.e. permitting non-standard base-pairing at the 3rd anti-codon position. The record is from RNAcentral.
CGGAGUGUAGCUCAGCCCGGUUAGAGUGCUGCGUUCGGGACGCAGAGGCCGUGGGUUCAAAUCCCACCACUCCGA